CUUGAGAAACUUGAGUCUUUUUGAUUCGUUUCUGCAAGGAUUAUCCCAUCUGUUCCAGAGCAUCAUCCUAGGAUCUCAUUAAGUGGUAUCAGAGCAACUCUGGAAGGGAAGUGUUUGUUUUCUCUCUGAUUUUAGAUUUGAUCUCUUCAUAUUCUGUUGUGAUUUUGAUCGAUCUGUGUUUCUAUUGUUGAAAUCUGAUAAAUCUGAGUGUUUUGAUCACGAAUCUGUUGAAGUCUCUUCAUAUACUCUUUGAUUUCGUGUUGAUCUGUGUUUCUUGUGUAAGAAUCUGUAGAAUUAGGGUUGAUUAGAUCUUGUUUUGGGUAUUAGACUGUUCGGAUCCUUGUUGAUCAAGUUCUCUGAUUGUGUUGAUCUAAAUCUGUUUGUGUAAUUCCGAUCUGUUCUUAUUGUUUUAGAUCUGAUCUUACUUGAUCUAAAUCUCAUCAUCUGUUAUCAUAUCAUCUCUGAUCUUGUGUUGUUUGAACUCUUGAAACCUGAUCCGUGCAGUGCAAGUUUGAUUGAUUUCGUUUUUGUUAUUUUUCUUUUGAAAAAUCUGCUCUUGAAUCUGAAAUCGAAAUCUAUCUCUCUAUUUUUGUGGUCUAGUUCGAAAAUCAAUCUGAUCUGUUAGGUUUGAGAUUUAUCAAUUCUGUUCUGAUUAGUUUUGAUUUGUUUUAAAUCAUUGGUUGAGUUUUGAAUUUGUUCUAAGAAUUGUCUAAGGUUUUAAGCUUCAAUUUGAAUCUGUUUCUGGUUUUGCAAAUUGGUUUUUGUUUUCUCUGUAGAACUUGUUACUGCUGUGUGUUGUUUUCUGUCUCAGGUACAAUGGCAGGAGAUCAGAAAGGAAAACUCACUAAGGAAGAAAGGC
This 859-nucleotide long non-coding RNA is filed under the name Brassica rapa (field mustard). Its description in RNAcentral is "long non-coding RNA (BRAP_LNC008160)". The record is from RNAcentral. Lineage: Eukaryota; Viridiplantae; Streptophyta; Magnoliopsida; Brassicales; Brassicaceae.